This 282-nucleotide small RNA is filed under the name Homo sapiens (human). RNAcentral's name for it is "Metazoan signal recognition particle RNA (ENSG00000277001.1)". Lineage: Eukaryota; Metazoa; Chordata; Mammalia; Primates; Hominidae. The record is from RNAcentral.
GCUGGGCGUGGUAGCUCACGCCUGUAAUCCCAGCACUUUGGGAGGCUGAGGUGGGCGGAUCACCUAAGGUCAGGAGUUCCGGAGCAGCCUGGGCAACAUGGUGAAACCCCGUCUCUACUAAAAAUGCAAAAAUUAGCUGGGUGUGGUGGCAUGCGCCUGUAGUCCCAGCUACCAGGGGAGGCUGAGGCAGGAGCAUCACUUGAACCCGGGAGGUGGAGGUUGCGGUGAGCCAAGAUCACACCACUGUACUCCAGCCUGGCUACAGAGUGAGACUCCAUCUCA